ACUCCUACGGGAGGCAGCAGUGGGGAAUAUUGCACAAUGGGCGCAAGCCUGAUGCAGCCAUGCCGCGUGUGUGAAGAAGGCCUUCGGGUUGUAAAGCACUUUCAGUCGUGAGGAAGGUAGUGUAGUUAAUAGCUGCAUUAUUUGACGUUAGCGACAGAAGAAGCACCGGCUAACUCCGUGCCAGCAGCCGCGGUAAUACGGAGGGUGCGAGCGUUAAUCGGAAUUACUGGGCGUAAAGCGCAUGCAGGUGGUUGUUAAGUCGGAUGUGAAAGCCCGGGGCUCAACCUCGGAAUAGCAUUUGAAACUGGCAGACUAGAGUACUGUAGAGGGGGUAGAAUUUCAGGUGUAGCGGUGAAAUGCGUAGAGAUCUGAAGGAAUACCGGUGGCGAAGGCGGCCCCUGGACAGAUACUGACACUCAGAUGCGAAAGCGUGGGAGCAAACAGGAUUAGAUACCCCUGGUAGACUGUCA
Molecule: ribosomal RNA, 470 nt
Filed under: uncultured bacterium
Lineage: Bacteria
Description: bacterial SSU rRNA
Rfam family: Bacterial small subunit ribosomal RNA
Source: RNAcentral